Molecule: ribosomal RNA, 464 nt
Filed under: uncultured bacterium
Lineage: Bacteria
Description: partial 16S ribosomal RNA
Rfam family: Bacterial small subunit ribosomal RNA
Source: RNAcentral
GACGAACGCUGGCGGCGUGCUUAACACAUGCAAGUCGAACGGUAAGGCCCUUUCGGGGGUACACGAGUGGCGAACGGGUGAGUAACACGUGGGUGAUCUGCCCUGCACUUUGGGAUAAGCCUGGGAAACUGGGUCUAAUACCGGAUAGGACUACGCGAUGCAUGUCGUGUGGUGGAAAGCUUUUGCGGUGUGGGAUGGGCCCGCGGCCUAUCAGCUUGUUGGUGGGGUGAUGGCCUACCAAGGCGACGACGGGUAGCCGGCCUGAGAGGGUGUCCGGCCACACUGGGACUGAGAUACGGCCCAGACUCCUACGGGAGGCAGCAGUGGGGAAUAUUGCACAAUGGGCGCAAGCCUGAUGCAGCGACGCCGCGUGGGGGAUGACGGCCUUCGGGUUGUAAACCCCUUUCAGCACAGAUGAAGCGUAAGUGACGGUAUGUGCAGAAGAAGCACCGGCCAACUACGUG